RNAcentral lists this unclassified non-coding RNA (580 nucleotides) under Hevea brasiliensis (rubber tree). The record is from RNAcentral. Lineage: Eukaryota; Viridiplantae; Streptophyta; Magnoliopsida; Malpighiales; Euphorbiaceae.
CUCUGUCACUGCACUCUUUUCUCAUAAUUCGAGAGGUGGCUGCUGUAUUUAACUCAGAUUGCUUUGAUGUCUGCUUGGUUAAAGCAUACAAGGCUUUUAUUAGUCGCUGCAAGUUUGUGGAGCCAGUUAUAUUUAAGCACAUACUAUUUAUUCUUUUGUUGAGCUAUGCUCUCUAGAUGUACAGAAAGCAUCUAAUAAGGCAACAGUUUCUAUCCAACAGCUUGCUAAGAUAUUGCAGCUGGGCCUACGGACUAAGAAGAAGGAAGCAGUUAAGAAGAUAUGCAGUUGGCAGUAUGCCAACUGCAUUGAACUCUGGAUUGCAUUUAUAUCAGUGAACAUACAUGAUUGUGAUCUUCAACCAUUGCUUUAUAUGAUCAUUCAGAUCAUAAAUGGAGUAGCUGUACUGUUCCCAGGACCAAGAUACUUGCCUUUAAGAGUUAAAUGUGUUCAAUGGCUGAAUCAUCUAUCCAGUUCUAGUGGUGUUUUUAUCCCUGUGGCAUCAUUGGCAUUGGAUGUUUUAGAAUAUAAAAUUGGCAAGGGGGGUAGCAAGCCAGGGAAGGACUUCAACUUUUCAUCUGCC